RNAcentral lists this ribosomal RNA (305 nucleotides) under uncultured bacterium. RNAcentral's name for it is "bacterial SSU rRNA". It matches the Rfam family "Bacterial small subunit ribosomal RNA", at positions 333 to 652 of the family's 1533-position model. The record is from RNAcentral.
AUUCACCUACGGGAGGCAGCAGUGGGGAAUAUUGGGCAAUGGGCGCAAGCCUGACCCAGCAACGCCGCGUGAAGGAAGAAGGCUUUCGGGUUGUAAACUUCUUUUCUCAGGGACGAAGAAAGUGACGGUACCUGAGGAAUAAGCCACGGCUAACUACGUGCCAGCAGCCGCGGUAAUACGUAGGGGGCAAGCGUUAUCCGGAUUUACUGGGUGUAAAGGGAGCGUAGACGGUAUGGCAAGUCUGAUGUGAAAACCCGGGGCUCAACCUCGGGACUGCAUUGGAAACUGUCGGACUAGAGUGUCGG